This 259-nucleotide ribosomal RNA is filed under the name uncultured bacterium. RNAcentral describes it as "partial 16S ribosomal RNA". It matches the Rfam family "Bacterial small subunit ribosomal RNA", at positions 96 to 353 of the family's 1533-position model. The record is from RNAcentral.
UGGCGGACGGGUGAGUAACGCGUGGGUAACCUGCCUCAUACAGGGGGAUAACAGUUGGAAACGACUGCUAAUACCGCAUAAGCGCACAGGAUCGCAUGAUCCGGUGUGAAAAACUCCGGUGGUAUGAGAUGGACCCGCGUCUGAUUAGCCAGUUGGCAGGGUAACGGCCUACCAAAGCGACGAUCAGUAGCCGACCUGAGAGGGUGACCGGCCACAUUGGGACUGAGACACGGCCCAAACUCCUACGGGAGGCAGCAUG